Molecule: non-coding RNA, 31 nt
Filed under: Homo sapiens (human)
Lineage: Eukaryota; Metazoa; Chordata; Mammalia; Primates; Hominidae
Source: RNAcentral
UGGAGGAUGAGCCCAGGAUCCAUGUGGCAGC